GGACGAACGCUGGCGGCGUGCUUAACACAUGCAAGUCGAGCGGUAAGGCCUUUCGGGGUACACGAGCGGCGAACGGGUGAGUAACACGUGGGUGAUCUGCCCUGCACUCUGGGAUAAGCCUGGGAAACUGGGUCUAAUACCGGAUAUGACCUGCUCUCGCAGUGGGGGGUGGGUGGAAAGAUUUAUCGGUGCAGGAUGGGCCCGCGGCCUAUCAGCUUGUUGGUGGGGUAAUGGCCUACCAAGGCGACGACGGGUAGCCGACCUGAGAGGGUGACCGGCCA
This 281-nucleotide ribosomal RNA is filed under the name uncultured soil bacterium. RNAcentral's name for it is "partial 16S ribosomal RNA". It matches the Rfam family "Bacterial small subunit ribosomal RNA", at positions 27 to 310 of the family's 1533-position model. The record is from RNAcentral.